Molecule: ribosomal RNA, 300 nt
Filed under: uncultured bacterium
Lineage: Bacteria
Description: bacterial SSU rRNA
Rfam family: Bacterial small subunit ribosomal RNA
Source: RNAcentral
GUCGUGACGAUGUUCGGGUUAAGUCCGGCAACGAGCGCAACCCACAUCUUUAGUUGCCAGCAGUUCGGCUGGGCACUCUAAAGGAAACUGCCCGUGAUAAGCGGGAGGAAGGUGUGGAUGACGUCAAGUCCUCAUGGCCCUUACGGGUUGGGCUACACACGUGCUACAAUGGCAGUGACAAUGGGUUAAUCCCCAAAAACUGUCUCAGUUCGGAUUGUCGUCUGCAACUCGACGGCAUGAAGUCGGAAUCGCUAGUAAAUCGCGUAACAGCAUGACGCGGUGAAUACGUUCCCGGGCCUU